This 263-nucleotide ribosomal RNA is filed under the name uncultured bacterium. RNAcentral describes it as "partial 16S ribosomal RNA". It matches the Rfam family "Bacterial small subunit ribosomal RNA", at positions 91 to 354 of the family's 1533-position model. The record is from RNAcentral.
UUUAGUGGCGGACGGGUGAGUAACGCGUGGGUAACCUGCCUUACACAGGGGGAUAACACUUAGAAAUAGGUGCUAAAACCGCAUAAGCGCACAGCUUCGCAUGAAGCGGUGUGAAAAACUCCGGUGGUGUAAGAUGGACCCGCGUCUGAUUAGCUUGUUGGCGGGGUAACGGCCCACCAAGGCGACGAUCAGUAGCCGGCCUGAGAGGGCGGACGGCCACAUUGGGACUGAGACACGGCCCAGACUCCUACGGGAGGCAGCAG